This 497-nucleotide ribosomal RNA is filed under the name uncultured bacterium. Its description in RNAcentral is "partial 16S ribosomal RNA". It matches the Rfam family "Bacterial small subunit ribosomal RNA", at positions 28 to 507 of the family's 1533-position model. The record is from RNAcentral.
GAUGAACGCUGGCGGCGUGCCUAAUACAUGCAAGUCGAGCGAACAGAUGAGGAGCUUGCUCCUCUGACGUUAGCGGCGGACGGGUGAGUAACACGUGGAUAACCUACCUAUAAGACUGGGAUAACUUCGGGAAACCGGAGCUAAUACCGGAUAAUAUAUUGAACCGCAUGGUUCAAUAGUGAAAGACGGUUUUGCCGUCACUUAUAGAUGGAUCCGCGCCGCAUUAGCUAGUUGGUAAGGUAACGGCUUACCACGGGAACGUUGCGUAGCCGACCUGAGAGGGUGAGCAGCCACACUGGGACUGAGACCCGGUCCAGAGUCCUACGGGAGGCAGCCGUAGGGAUUCUUCCGGAAUGGGCGAAAGCCAGACGGAGCAACGCCGCGUGAGUGAUGAAGGUCUUCGGAUCGUAAAUCUCUGUUAUUAGGGAAGAACAAAUGUGUAAGUAACUAUGCACGUCUUGACGGUACCUAAGCAGAAAGCCACGGCUAACUACGUG